RNAcentral lists this ribosomal RNA (366 nucleotides) under uncultured bacterium. Its description in RNAcentral is "bacterial SSU rRNA". It matches the Rfam family "Bacterial small subunit ribosomal RNA", at positions 28 to 416 of the family's 1533-position model. The record is from RNAcentral.
GAUGAACGCUGGCGGCGUGCCUAAUACAUGCAAGUCGAGCGAACCACUUCGGUGGUGAGCGGCGAACGGGUGAGUAGCACGUAGGUGAUCUGCCCAUCAGACGGGACAACGAUUGGAACGAUCGCUAAUACCGGAUAGGACGAAAGUUUAAAGGUGCUUCUGGCACCGCUGAUGGAUGAGCCUGCGGCGCAUUAGCUAGUUGGUAGGGUAAAGGCCUACCAAGGCGACGAUGCGUAGCCGACCUGAGAGGGUGAACGGCCACACUGGGACUGAGACACGGCCCAGACUCCUACGGAGGCAGCAGUAGGGAAUCUUCGGCAAUGGGCGAAAGCCUGACCGAGCAACGCCGCGUGAAUGAUGAAGGCC